Oncorhynchus mykiss (rainbow trout) is the source of this 3323-nucleotide non-coding RNA. NCBI's taxonomy places the organism in Eukaryota, Metazoa, Chordata, Actinopteri, Salmoniformes, Salmonidae. The record is from RefSeq and is a predicted model, not a curated record.
GGACACACAGCAGCACAGAGAGAGAGAUAGAAAGACAGAGAGAUAGAGAGAGAGAGACAGACAGACAGAGUUGCAGUGCUGAGAACUGAGAGGAACUGAGACAACUCAACUCCCUCUGCUCGUGCUUCCUUCCAGCCAAUGGAAGACUACUUAGACUGGAUCUACAUGGGGGUGAUGUCUGCGUUUGUCGGAGGGGCCAUGAAGAAGGUCCUGGCGUCCCACGUCAGCGCGGCCCCGACCGUGGUGGCCUGGCUGGGGGUCACCUUACUAGUGGAGAGGCUGUGGUUCUUCUGUGUGCCUGCUGUCCUGGUGUUGGCUGCCCUCUGCCUCGCCUGCUGUCUAUACUCUGUCAGGACAGCCCCAGCACCCACUCUGCCUGUCCAGGGCAAGGCUGUCUUCAUCACAGGCUGUGACACAGGCUUCGGGAAGGCUGCAGCGCGGCGUCUGGACGCCCAGGGUUUUGAGGUGUUUGCUACGGUGUUGGAUCUGUGUGGGGAGGGAGCCAAGGAGCUCCAGAAGACCUGCUCCCCUCAUCUCACCCUGCUACAGGUGGACAUCACCCAGCCACAGCAGGUCCAACAGGCUCUUCUAGACACCAAGGCCAAACUGGGCCUCAGAGGUCUGUGGGGCUUGGUGAAUAAUGCAGGAGUAUGUGUUAACUUCGGGGAUGCAGAGUUGUCUCUGAUGUCUAACUACCGUGGCUGUAUGGAGGUGAACUUCUUUGGGACUCUGAACGUCACCAAGACAUUCCUGCCUCUGCUGCGUCAGGCCAAGGGACGCAUCGUCACAAUCUCCAGCCCUGCAGGAGAGCAGCCGUUCCCCUGUCUAGCAGCGUACGGAGCCUCCAAGGCAGCUCUCAACCUGUUCAUCAACACACUGCGCCACGAAAUGGAACCCUGGGGGGUCAAAGUGUCCACCAUACUGCCAUCCUCAUACAAGACAGGUCAGUCCGGUAACCAGGAGUACUGGGAGAAUCAGUACAAGAGCCUGAUCCACAACCUGUCCACAGGCCUGCUGGAGGAGUACGGGGAAGACUACACGCACGAGACCAAGGAGCUCUUCCAACACUUCGCCCAGUCGGCUAACGAGGACCUGUCACCAGUCAUCAACACCAUCAGCGAGGCGCUGCUCUCCCCCAGGCCCCUGGUCCGAUACUACGCUGGGCCCGGCGUGGGCCUCAUGAACUUCGUUUAUAGUUAUUUCCCUCUGAGUCUCUCAGACAAGUUCCUCCAGAGACUAUUUGUCCAGAAGAAGAUCAUCCCACGAGCGCUGAGGAAAGAGAACAACAACAACAACAACAACAUCAACAACAACGUGGAGAAGAUAAAGAAGUAAAACAAUGAGAUGUGUGUUUGUUUUUUUAAGGUAAAAAAAAAAAGUGGAAGCUGUAGGACCCACUUACGUCAGGUACAACACGCACAUCGUGUUGUUGUCUAUUUUUGAAGGGCUCAUUAUAUUGGUGUUCAUAUUGAAGGGCUCAUUAUAUUGGUGUUCAUAUUGAAGGGCUCAUUAUAUUGGUGUUCAUAUUGAAGGGCUCAUUAUAUUGGUGUUCACAUUGAAGGGCUCAUUAUAUUGGUGUUCAUAUUGAAGGGCUCAUUAUAUUGGUGUUCAUAUUGAAGGGCUCAUUAUAUUGGUGUUCAUAUUGAAGGGCUCAUUAUAUUGGUGUUCACAUUGAAGGACUCAUUAUAUUGGUGUUCAUAUUGAAGGGCUCAUUAUAUUGGUGUUCAUAUUGAAGGGCUCAUUAUAUUGGUGUUCAUAUUGAAGGGCUCAUUAUAUUGGUGUUCACAUUGAAGGGCUCAUUAUAUUGGUGUUCAUAUUGAAGGGCUCAUUAUAUUGGUGUUCAUAUUGAAGGGCUCAUUAUAUUGGUGUUCAUAUUGAAGGGCUCAUUAUAUUGGUGUUCACAUUGAAGGGCUCAUUAUAUUGGUGUUCACAUUGAAGAGCUCAUUAUAUUGGUGUUCAUAUUGAAGGGCUCAUUAUAUGGGUGUUCACAUUGAAGGGCUCAUUAUAUUGGUGUUCAUAUUGAAGGGCUCAUUAUAUUGGUGUUCACAUUGAAGGGCUCAAUAUAUUGGUGUUCACAUUGAAGGGGUCAUUGAAGAUGAGUAUUUGAGUGGCUUUCCCUCCCGGUAGACGGCAGACACCAACAUAGCUGGCACCAACACGGCAGACACCAACACAGCUGGCACCAACACGUCUGGCACCAACAUGUCUGGCACCAACACGUCUGGCACCAACACGGCAGACACCAACACAGCUGGCACCAACACGUCCGUCACCAACACGUCUGGCACCAACACGUCUGGCACCAACACGGCAGACACCAACACAGCUGGCACCAACACGUCCGUCACCAACACGUCUGGCACCAACACGUCUGGCACCAACAUGAUGGCACCAACACGAUGGCACCAACACGUCUGGCACCAACACGGCUGGCACCAACACGAUGGCACCAACACGUCUGGCACCAACACGAUGGCACCAACACGUCUGGCACUAACACGAUGGCACCAACACGAUGGCACCAACACGGCUGGCAGCAACACGGCCGGCACCAACACGGCUGGCGCCAACACAAUGGCACCAACACGAUGGCACCAACACGAUGGCACCAACACGAUGGCACCAACACGUCUGGCACCAACAUGGCUGGCACCAACACGGUGGCACCAACACGAUGGCACCAACACGAUGGCACCAACACGGCUGGCACCAACACGGCUGGCACCAACACGAUGGCACCAACACGGCUGGCACCAACAUGAAUGGCACCAACACGGCUGGCACCAACACGGCUGGCACCAACACGGCUGGCACCAACACGGCAGACACCAACACGGCUGGCACCAACACGAAUGGCACCAACACGGUUGGCACCAACACGGCUGGCACCAACAUGGCUGGCACCAACACGAUGGCACCAACACGAUGGCACCAACACGAUGGCACCAACACGGCUGGCACCAACACGGCUGGCACCAACACGACUGGCACCACAGAGCUCUGUAAAUACACCAUUCUGUCACAUCCCCAUGGAGCACCUGAAUUCAAUUAUAAAAAAACAUUUCAAUUGCAGCCUGGUAUAUUUGCUGAUGUUAUUUUUAAUUCGAACAUUUCGUCGUUGUUCAUUUCUUUGUGUUGUAUUUUUCACUCCACUGAAUGUUCUUCUUCAAUCAGAGUAGCUAUGCCAGUUUCAUUUCAUGAAUCACUGAAAACUGUGAAUUUUACUAUAACAAAUAUUCUUACAAAUAUUGUUAAAUUUUUUUAUUUUUUUCACUCAUUUGUUCACCUAACUUUGGUAAUAUUAAAAGUUGACUUUUUAAAAA